AUGUGAACACAAUAGGUGUGUAACAACUGUCACUUCACUAAUUACUGCAGUUGACUCAGCUGACUUGGCUAGUCAGCUGAUGUCUCCUUUGACCCUCACAGCU
Molecule: small RNA, 103 nt
Filed under: Choloepus hoffmanni (Hoffmann's two-fingered sloth)
Lineage: Eukaryota; Metazoa; Chordata; Mammalia; Pilosa; Megalonychidae
Description: 7SK RNA (ENSCHOG00000015773.1)
Source: RNAcentral